UCUCCGUUGGUGAACCAGCGGAGGGAUCAUUACCGAAGUUACCUUCAAAACCCACUGUGAACCUUACCUCUUGCCGCGUUGUCUCGGCGGGAGGCGGGUGGCGUGGCGCGCCCUCGGGCCGCGCCGCUCCCGUCCCCGCCGGCAGCGCCAAACUCUAAAUGCACAGCGGACUGUACGUUCUGAUUUACAAAAAAAACAAGUUAAAACUUUCAACAACGGAUCUCUUGGUUCUGGCAUCGAUGAAGAUCGCAGC
RNAcentral lists this unclassified non-coding RNA (253 nucleotides) under plant metagenome. RNAcentral's name for it is "partial contains small subunit ribosomal RNA, internal transcribed spacer 1, and 5.8S ribosomal RNA". The stretch from base 205 to 253 matches the Rfam family "5.8S ribosomal RNA", at positions 1 to 49 of the family's 154-position model. The record is from RNAcentral.